This 699-nucleotide ribosomal RNA is filed under the name Staphylococcus aureus. RNAcentral's name for it is "partial 23S ribosomal RNA". It matches the Rfam family "Bacterial large subunit ribosomal RNA", at positions 132 to 828 of the family's 2925-position model. The record is from RNAcentral. Lineage: Bacteria; Bacillati; Bacillota; Bacilli; Caryophanales; Staphylococcaceae.
CAUGAGUUAUGUCAUGUUAUCGAUAUGUGAAUACAUAGCAUAUCAGAAGGCACACCCGGAGAACUGAAACAUCUUAGUACCCGGAGGAAGAGAAAGAAAAUUCGAUUCCCUUAGUAGCGGCGAGCGAAACGGGAAGAGCCCAAACCAACAAGCUUGCUUGUUGGGGUUGUAGGACACUCUAUACGGAGUUACAAAGGACGACAUUAGACGAAUCAUCUGGAAAGAUGAAUCAAAGAAGGUAAUAAUCCUGUAGUCGAAAAUGUUGUCUCUCUUGAGUGGAUCCUGAGUACGACGGAGCACGUGAAAUUCCGUCGGAAUCUGGGAGGACCAUCUCCUAAGGCUAAAUACUCUCUAGUGACCGAUAGUGAACCAGUACCGUGAGGGAAAGGUGAAAAGCACCCCGGAAGGGGAGUGAAAUAGAACCUGAAACCGUGUGCUUACAAGUAGUCAGAGCCCGUUAAUGGGUGAUGGCGUGCCUUUUGUAGAAUGAACCGGCGAGUUACGAUUUGAUGCAAGGUUAAGCAGUAAAUGUGGAGCCGUAGCGAAAGCGAGUCUGAAUAGGGCGUUUAGUAUUUGGUCGUAGACCCGAAACCAGGUGAUCUACCCUUGGUCAGGUUGAAGUUCAGGUAACACUGAAUGGAGGACCGAACCGACUUACGUUGAAAAGUGAGCGGAUGAACUGAGGGUAGCGGAGAAAUU